This 408-nucleotide ribosomal RNA is filed under the name uncultured bacterium. RNAcentral describes it as "partial 16S ribosomal RNA". It matches the Rfam family "Bacterial small subunit ribosomal RNA", at positions 28 to 526 of the family's 1533-position model. The record is from RNAcentral.
GACGAACGCUGGCGGCGUGCUUAACACAUGCAAGUCGAACGGAGUGGCGAACGGGUGAGUAACACGUGGGUGAUCUGCCUUGCACUUCGGGAUAAGCUUGGGAAACUGGGUCUAAUACCGGAUAGUGCAAGAUGAGAGCGCGGCCUAUCAGCUUGGUGGUGGGGUAAUGGCCUACCAAGGCGUCGCCGGGUAGCCGGCAUGAGAGGGUGUACAGGCACAUUGGUACUGAGAGACGGCCCAGACUCCUACGGGAGGCAGCAGGGGCGAAUAUUGCACAAUGGGCGGGAGCCUGAUGCAGCGACGCCGCGUGUGGGAUGAAGGCCUUCGGGUUGGAAACUCCUUUCGACAGGGACGCGGUACCUGUAUAAGAAGCACCGGCUAACUACGUGCCAGCCGCCGCGGUAAUUC